AGUGAACGCUGGCGGCAGGCCUAACACAUGCAAGUCGAACGAACCUUUCGGGGUUAGUGGCGGACGGGUGAGUAACACGUGGGAACGUGCCUUUAGGCUCGGAAUAACUCAGGGAAACUUGUGCUAAUACCGAAUGUGCCCUUCGGGGGAAAGAUUUAUCGCCUUUAGAGCGGCCCGCGUCUGAUUAGCUAGUUGGUUGAGGUAAUGGCUCACCAAGGCGACGAUCAGUAGCUGGUCUGAGAGGAUGAUCAGCCACAUUGGGACUGAGACACGGCCCAAACUCCUACGGGAGGCAGCAGUGGGGAAUCUUGCGCAAUGGGCGAAAGCCUGACGCAGCCAUGCCGCGUGAAUGAUGAAGGUCUUAGGAUUGUAAAAUUCUUUCACCGGGGACGAUAAUGACGGUACCCGGAGAAGAAGCCCCGGCUAACUUCGUG
This 434-nucleotide ribosomal RNA is filed under the name uncultured bacterium. Its description in RNAcentral is "partial 16S ribosomal RNA". It matches the Rfam family "Bacterial small subunit ribosomal RNA", at positions 29 to 507 of the family's 1533-position model. The record is from RNAcentral.